Molecule: long non-coding RNA, 3338 nt
Organism: Lolium perenne
Lineage: Eukaryota; Viridiplantae; Streptophyta; Magnoliopsida; Poales; Poaceae
Source: RefSeq, a predicted model, not a curated record
CACAAGCUGAUUUCCCUUCGCAUUCGCUACAUGGAAAGUCUCCUGCCUCCCACUUCACCUCAGAUCUUUAGUUACCUCCGAAUCUACUUUCCUUCAUUGAAUAUUGGGCGUCUCAAAUUCUGCACUACCGCAGACAUGAGGAAUUGAGGAGACGCUCCUCUUCUUGGCCUUUUACUUCACUGCUAUAUAUAGGAUCAACGCCAAUUGCAGCGGUUGCAUUCUAUUCAAUCUCAUACUGCUCCUCCUCCUACCGCUCACCACUUACUUGCGUUUUUGUGGUUGUGAUUUGCAUAAAGCUUAGCCGACCAACAGGAGGUCUGCUGGAGCCUGGAGGCUCGGCACCAGGGAAAAGUAACAGCAGCAGUGAAUUUGUCAUCUAUCGGCUUGGCAUGGACAGUGUAAUAGUUCAUCUCUACUUUGUUCAUGCUUUAUAAUAUUAAUUGAGCAACUUUUGGGUGAAGUAAAUCAGACAAUUAUUUCCAUGGAGCUAGGGGUAAGUGGCUGUUUAUAUCCCUUUUCCUUUUACUGAAUUGUACUACUACUACUGGUUGUUCAUCUCAUCUCUCCAUUCACCACUGACGAUGGUUUCCAUUCUCUUCUCCCUUUAUGCUAUCAGAUGAAUCUACAAGGUAAAAUUAAGAUUAUUUGCUUAUGAGGCUCACCUUUUUGGAAACUGCACUUCAUAUGGAUUGCUGUUCUACGGCAAGUACAAACAGAGAGCAACCCACUAAAAGUAUUUCUCUCAACAUGCAAGACAUCCACCUCAUCAGACAUCUCUAAGCAAUCAUAGGCUGCCACCUCACUUCAACUCUUCCACCUCAGUUAGCUAAGAUAACUAUUCGGUUGGCAGUCCACAAGCUGAUUUCCCUUCGCAUUCGCUACAUGGAAAGUCUCCUGCCUCCCACUUCACCUCAGAUCUUUAGUUACCUCCGAAUCUACUUUCCUUCAUUGAAUAUUGGGCGUCUCAAAUUCUGCACUACCGCAGACAUGAGGAAUUGAGGAGACGCUCCUCUUCUUGGCCUUUUACUUCACUGCUAUAUAUAGGAUCAACGCCAAUUGCAGCGGUUGCAUUCUAUUCAAUCUCAUACUGCUCCUCCUCCUACCGCUCACCACUUACUUGCGUUUUUGUGGUUGUGAUUUGCAUAAAGCUUAGCCGACCAACAGGAAGUCUGCUGGAGCCCGGAGGCUCGGCACCAGGGAAAAGUAACAGCAGCAGUGAAUUUGCCAUCUAUCGGCUUGGCAUGGACAGUGUAAUAGUUCAUCUCUGCUUUGUUCAUGCUUUAUAAUAUUAAUUGAGCAACUUUUGGGUGAAGUAAAUCAGACAAUUAUUUCCAUGGAGCUAGGGAUGAAUCUACAAGGUAAAAUUAAGAUUAUUUGCUUAUGAGGCUCACCUUUUUGGAAACUGCACUUCAUAUGGAUUGCUGUUCUACGGCAAGUACAAACCGAAUGGGAUACCACGAAAUUAGCAUGAGAUUAUUCUCAUGAAAAGUGGAGAGGAUUAAUUUAUUUACUAUUGAAGAUUGCAUGAGCUAGAUAUUAUUGCAGAACAGGUUGCUAACAUAUUGCAAGUAUGUAUUUUUAGCACUUACUUCAAUUGCUUGGUUUUGGCUUACUUACCAUUUUAUCAGAUGAAACUUUAAUUUUAGUUUUUGUUACGAGAAAACACAAAAGAAAUCUUUGCAUUUUAUUUUAUUGAAAAGAUAGAAUUUGUUAAACACCCAAGAAGGUUUACAACGUUGAAAAUUAAUUUUAGUGGCCAUCUCCCGAAUUAAGUUUCCUUAUUCUUUGCAUGAGCCGUUUUGCUAUUUCCUACUUUAUAUAGAAACUAUUUAAUUUUUGUUUUUAUGCCAACAAGGGGGGAGUCAUGCCAUUGGUAAAAGGUACCAUAAAAGAAGCCUAUAAAAAAUGGAAGGUCUGUGCAUUUCAUACCUUUCCAUGUACUAUGAGUGGUAAAAGGUACCAUAAAAGAAGCCUAGAAAAAAUGGAAGGUCCAACAGUAAGCAUUUUAGGGGAAAACAAAUUGCAAGACAGUGGAGUUAUUAGACGCAAAAGGGGAAAAAGUAUAAAUCUAAACAUAAUCAACAUGUACUCAUAUAGCCUUGAAGUACAAUUAAAAGAAGCAACUCAGAAUAAUAUCUACACACUAAGGUUAAACCUCGUUAGCCUAAAACAGUUGUAAGCUGGAAGUUGAGCCAAUUAUCAGAGAAUCGAUAGAAACCAGUGGUUGCACUCACCUGACUAUUAUACCUUCAGAAAUAAUCAAAAGCGUAUAAAAUGUUAGCAACUUCAGUAAAAUAGUCUUUCGAGAUCAGUUGCCGUGAGCAUGUUUGAGAGUGCACAAAGUUGCUAGAAGACGAGAAUAAAUUCCCGUUGUUGGUCACAUAUGAAGAUAGGUUUUCAACAAACUCCAUCAAUAUAAUCUGACGUGGAUAAAUUUCUAUGGGUGAGGCAAUGGAUUAUAUUGAGGGCCUUGGCGGACUUGAAGGUUGGACUAUAUUGAAUUCAUCUUCGGAUGCUCAUGCCGUGGUAGCUAGUGUAGAGAUCCUGCAUAUUUCUCUUAAAUCUGAAAACUGAAGUAAAUAAUUGCAGGACGACCGCGCAGUGACAUGACGCUAGAUUUGAUCAUGUGAGAGAUUACAAGAUAAGGCAGAGGAGCAAUACCUUAAUUUGUUCUCUGGAAUAUUUCUCUUGUCACUAUAGGAGCUCCGUUAGGGAGAUUGGAAGAUCGGGUAGAGGAGAACGGGGGUUGAUUUCUCAUUGGUAUCAUCAUCAUCUGCACUAUUUACAUGGAAGCCAACGCCUCAAGAAUCAUGAUUCAGUUGCGUUGACCCUUCCUCUUAUUGCCUUGCAAGCAGUGUAGUCCUUUCUUUCGUUGCCUUGCAGGCAUCAAUGAUGGAGAGGAAUGUUGUGAGGGCUGGAGGCAUGAACAUGGAUUGGAAGGAUGGAAUGGGAAGGUGGACAUGGGAGGGGAUUAUAAAAGAUAAGACUGAAAAUUAUUGGUGGGAGAGGUGCGGCCAUCCUUGAUUAGGAUGAGAAGGGGAAAAGACAUGAGAGCAGUUUCUUUAAAUAUCUGGUGAUUAUCAUGCAAAAAAUAAAACAAAAAAGAUAUUUAUUUGUUGAGGUGGCAUCUUGAUGAGGUGGCAUGCUUACAUGUUGAGAGAAUUACACUUAGUGGGUUGCUCCAAUUUAGAUAUUAUAGAUAGCAUCCAAUGUUCAUGAUCAGAAAACCAUGAUCAUCAAUUAAUCAACAAGCUAGUUAAACAAGAGGCUUACUAUAGACUCUGGUUUGUUUAUAGAACACACAUGUAUUAAUGUUUUCAGUUAAUAAAAUUAUAGCA